ACAAAAAAUUUGGAAAGUCAAAUGUGGUAAUCAUCUUACCUCUACGUCAAACUCCUUCACUGAGGAAAGCUGGGAGAAAAAUAUUCCUUAUAAAGAUACUUUUAGCCCCUACACUAACAUCAGAUUUAUUGAAGCCUCUUCUACUAGUUGUGCCAUUAAAAUUUUUACCGAUGGUUCGAAGUGUGACUGUCAUGUUGGUGCCAGUUUCGUUGCUUUUCACAACAAUAUUGAAAUUUACUAUAAUGUUUUAGGUUUGUUCCACUUUGUAGCAUUUUUCAAGCAGAGUUAUAUGCUAUUUUACAGGCAAUCGAGUGGUGUGAACGGGCUCUCAAUAAUGCCAAAAUUGCAAUCAUUACCGAUUCACUAUCUUCUCUCUCUACGAUUCGGAGGAAGUCUGUUCAUCCUCUGGUCUUUAGUAUUCAAAGACUGUUGAUUGAGUCUGAUAAUGAGUAUUAUUUUAAUUGGACGAGAUCACAUUGUAAUGACUACGGCAAUGAUCGGACGGAUCAACUUGCUAAAAUGGCGGCAGCUGACCCGAACAUCUCUAUCAGUUACAAUAUGAUUUCAACAAAAAUGCUGAAAGAGGUCCUUUGGAACGAUUUGCUUGUGGAGUGGCAGCAUAGUUGGGAUGCCAACACCUCAGUUACGAAACAGUUUUUUCCUGAUAUAUUGAAAUUUUUGAAGAACACUUGGAUUGAAGUUACUCACCAUUCUAUACAAUUUCACACCACUCAUGGCCGUUUUAAUUCAUAUCUUGCUCGCUUUACCUUGCGUAAUAACAGUCUAUGUCCUGUUUGCAACACCAUUGACAGUAGUUUCCAUUAUAUUUUUGAAUGCCCCAUGACUGAGAUUGAAAGACAUCAGUUACGCACUCUUCUAACCAGUAAAAAUCGUUCUUGGCCGUGUGAUGCUCAAGACCUUACUUCGGAUAAGGAAACUUACAAUUUACUUGUUCAGAUAUUUGAAAGUAUUUUCGAGUUACAACAAUUUCUUAAUGUUCUUUACUAGAAAAUUCACACGUUGUUAAUAGUAUACACUUGGUAAGGCUUAAUUUGAUUCCUCGUUCGUAUCCUUUGCUGCUUUUCCCAUUCUUGUUUAAGUCUUCUGGUGUUUGAGGUGAUCUCCUCACUUAAACUUAGGGAUCUUGUGGUUUGUUUAAAAUUCGACUGCAGCGGAUUGUAGAUUAUGAUAGUUUCCUGGCUAUUCACUUUUGGUCUUGCACCUUGUGGUCAUAAUUGCACAUCAAAAGAACAAAUGUCACUUAAGAAGAAAUUCUUUUUCACUUUCUUCUGGACUUUACUGUGACUAGUGGGAAUGUAUACUACUAAUUGGACUGAACACUGUGUUAACGCCGUACCACUUUAAGCAUAUUGGUGGUUAUUGUGUUUGCUGGACUUUAGUUUGUGAAGUAGUAUACUUGGCUUCUUUGUGUACAUUUUCUUAUGGCUGACACUCUGGGUAAUUCUGUGGAUUCUACUGGUGGAGAUAUACUUGAUGUACUGUCACUGUUUCUCUGUGGUAAUACCUGGUCGAACUAUUUUUGUCAUGCUACAAUAGUUCGUGUUUGAACUUAAUACACAUUAUUACAUUUAUUGUAAUUGUUUGAGUUUACUGAAACUGGAAGGAGCUUACAUUUUUCUACUGGACUGUUUUCUGCAUCAACUCUACAUCAAUCCAUGCUUUGUGGUGUACUUGUGUAUUAUAUUAUGUUUUCUAUUUUGGUGCGCCACUGUGAUGUGAUCAACUAGUGGUUUCCUUGCUAUUGAAAUAAUUGUGGUGUGGACGAAGUUUCUUCAACUUCCAGUGAAUAUAAAUGAUGCAGCGUGAAGACAAUCCUUCAACUUCUGGUGGCUCUUACUAUGUCGGAAUAUUACGUACAGAAGUUUGGCGGAGUUCAGUGGUGUUGAGAACAUUUUUCAACUUCCAUUGCUCAACUACUAGCGGAUUUUCUUGUGGCCGAAACAUAAGUACUUUGGUGCAAGUGAUUAUUACUUCUUUACACUAUACUGUCUUAUUAUUAUAUAUUAUAGUUUGUAUAUAUACUCAUUUCUAUAUGAUAUGUAUCAUCUAUGAUAUCUUUGCACUUCUGCUGUUUGCUUCUUUUAUAAUUUGUUAACUUGCGCUUAAUUGUUGUGAUUCUAAUUUUAUUUUAUCUUCAUUACUUUUAAUUGUUACUGUAUAUUUUACACUAUCUUAUUUUUUCAUAAAAUUUUUACUUGUAUAAAUAUAUAUUAAGCCUGUAUAAUAUCCUUGUUGUCCUCCCAUCAUUGUACUAUUUUACUCUUAAUGUUUAUUAAUAUGCUGUAUUCAUUGUCAUAAUUAAUUAGUGUUUUUAAAUCCUGAUAAUGCUCAGCGAAAUCAGAAAAUGUAACUUAUGUUAUUUUAAUAAAAUUAAUGAAAUGAAAAAAAUGUCUUUAUACCAGAGGCUAUAAAAGAUGCUUGUAUUUAGCAAUUCAUGUAGAUGACGUAAUAGCAAUGGCCACAGACGAACAUACGUUAACCGAAUUUGAGACCGAUCGAAAUGAAAGAAAUGUUUAAAAUCAAGAAUUUAGGUGACUUAAAAUAUUAUCUGGGAAUACAAUUUGAAAGAGACGAGAACAGAAUAUUUUCACUUCACCAAGAAAGAUAUAUCGAAAAUAAAUUGUGAGAAUUUAACUUAUCCGAUUCGAGACCGUCUAAUAUUCCUAUGGAUACAGGAUACUUAAGAAGAAAUGAAAUGCCAGAUACGUUCAAAAACAACAAUGUAUACAGAAGUGCUAUUGGAUCUUUAUUAUAUCUAGUGACUAACUCGCAUCCAGAUAUUGCGAUAAGUACAUCGAUAUUAGCGAGAAAAGUAACAAAACCUUCAGAAAGUGAUUGGGUGGAAGUAAAAAGAAUCUUUCAUUAUCUGAAUUCGACAAAAAAGAAGAAACUUAAAUUAGGAAAUAUUGAUGAAGAAUUAGAACUUAAAUGUUAUGUAGAUGCCGACUGGGGAGGCGAUCGUAUAGACCACAAAUCGAACACAGGAUAUUUGCUCUUGCUAAAAGGAAGUCCUAUUCAUUGGGUUAGUAAAAAGCAACAGUGUGUAGCACUUUCAUCCAUCGAAGCGGAGUACGUAGCCUUGGCAGAAGCUACCUAAGAAACUGUAUGGAUGAAACGACUUCUAGAAGAAAUAAAUGUACCGAUUACAGCACCUAUCAAAAUAUUUGAGGACAAUCAAAGUUGUAUUCGACUUUUAGAAUUAGGAAAAGCACAACAGUGCACGAAAUAUAUCAACACAAAAUACCAUUUUGUACGUGAUUUAAAGAAUUCGGGAGAAAUUACUGUAAUCUAUUGUUUGAGUGAACGGAUGACAGCUGAUUUGUUAACAAAGCCGCUAGAUGCGAAUAAGGUUAAGAAAUUUACUCGCGAUAUCGGAUUGUAUUAAUGAUCAAUUGUUGAGGGGGUGUGUUGGAAUCAACGAUCGCAAUGUUCUGUAAUGUUCUGACGUAAUAAAAGGUUGGUGGUGCUCUUGACCCCUCAGGCAAAGUGACCUCGUUUCACUCUCCCCUUUCGAGCACUGACCUUCCGGGAGUGACAACUGUGUAAUCUUUGUGCACUCUUUGUUCUUUGUUAUAUAACUAGUUACGCGAGUCUAACUUGAUUUUACUAAUCUCUCCGAAAAGCUAUAUCCAGUCUAACAGUCAAAACUAACAUAAUUGAUAUUAGUGUUGUUCUAGUUAUUUGCAUAGUUUCACAUGUCACUGUUGGUAAAUUUUCAUCAGUAAUGCAAAAAACUGCAUUUAGUGUUUACAUUUGGUAUUAUUUCAUGUGAUCCUUACUUUUGACUUCCACUGUAGUUAUAAUAAGCAGCCAUUUCUUUUUGACCCUCCUAAAUGCAUUUUGGCUGUAUUAAGAUAGCCAUGUACAGGGUUAUCUUCUCACAAGUUAUUGUGGUCUAAAAGUUUUUUUACAUAAUCACAACACUUUUUUCACAAACCCAUAUAGAAACCUGGAUUAGAGUAUAGAGUAAUACAGCCAAACUGAGUGUUCAGUCAUCAUCAUUUAAUAUUUCCAAUCAGUUCUCAAUAUUACUAUAUUUUCAUGCUAUAAUCUUUAAUGGCAUUUUUUCCACAGAAAAUUAUUAGAACAAAAAUAAAACCUUUGUAAAAUUUGCUUCACUAUAUACCCUGUGACAAUGGAGUAACCAUUGCUCCAUAAAUGGAAAUUUGUAAAUGCAACUUAAAAUUGGCAUGUAAUCACACCCCUAAAAAUUACAUUUUAGACAUGGAUAAGUUAUAGCUUGUAUGUAUGAAAAUACGGUGCUCCCAUAUCUUUGCUGCUAUUGUCUCUUAUCCUUAUUGGCACAGUUUUUCCUUAAAGAGAGAAUGAAAAGAUAGAUAUUUAAGACAUAUUGUUGAUAAGACUACUAGCACCAUUAUUGCAAAAUGUUUAAAUAUAUAAUUAACAGAAUAAAAAGCAUUACAUACAAUGAUUUAUUUGCAAUUUUUAUGGAUAAUCAAAAUUUAAUAUUUAAAUUUCAAAAAUUACUAUUUCUUUCAUGAAGUUAGGUGGAAUAAUAGCUCCUAAUGAUGAAAGUUGCCAUCUUGAUGAAAAUGGUUAUUAUACAGAAAGCUUAAGUCAGGAUUAUCCAUCUUUAAGCCAAAUUAAUAAAAUACUUGUCGAAAAUAAAAUUAAUGUUAUAUUUGCUGUCCCUGAACAAAAAAUACCACUCUAUAACAUUCUUAGUUCAAAAAUUGAAGCAUCAUAUGCAGGAAAAUUAUUAAAAGAUUCUUCAAAUAUAGUUCAUUUAAUUCAAGGUCAAUAUAAUAAAAUUAGAUCAAAGGUUAUAUUGAAAAAUAGUUCUAAUGAAUUUAUGAAAGUGACUUAUGUCUCAAAAUGUUUAGG
Long non-coding RNA from Centruroides sculpturatus (bark scorpion), 4866 nucleotides. RefSeq lists it as uncharacterized. The record is from RefSeq and is a predicted model, not a curated record. The transcript has 3 exons. NCBI's taxonomy places the organism in Eukaryota, Metazoa, Arthropoda, Arachnida, Scorpiones, Buthidae.